Molecule: long non-coding RNA, 358 nt
Organism: Mastomys coucha (southern multimammate mouse)
Lineage: Eukaryota; Metazoa; Chordata; Mammalia; Rodentia; Muridae
Exons: 3
Source: RefSeq, a predicted model, not a curated record
CCCCACACAAGAAGACAAGCCCAGGGCAUCCAGGGAACCCUGACAUUCACUCAGACAUUUACAGUGUAUGCGAUAUGAAAACUAAGUCCAGCUUGCUCUUUCUGCCUGCACAUCUGUAAUGUGUACUGUGUAACCACAGAGAUAGCCUUGUGGAAAGGAGGUUCCCAAGAGGAGAAGCACGCAUGGCAAGGCAAUGGCAAGAGACAUCGAAACAAAGUCCCAGAGCUUCCACUGAGGAUGGAGAGUGGAAUCUACAUCCAGCUUUGAACUCUAACUACCAUGAGACUUAGGGAACUGAGCUUUGCAAGCAGAGGAUUCUCCAUCAAUAAAAUGGGCACUGAGUUAUAUCUUCUCCAAA